Molecule: long non-coding RNA, 764 nt
Organism: Xenia sp. Carnegie-2017
Lineage: Eukaryota; Metazoa; Cnidaria; Anthozoa; Malacalcyonacea; Xeniidae
Exons: 2
Source: RefSeq, a predicted model, not a curated record
GAAGCUUUUUAAAAAAUUUUUAUUGAUGCUAUAGUAGCUGUCAAAUACUUGCAAAGAUUUAAGCAAAACUGCGUCCAAGGAUUUACUCUAAGUUUAAACCAUGCUAAGCAAAUGCAGAAAAUCAAAGUGUCUUAUACUGUAUUACUGCUAACGUCAAGUAACAGAAGCUACUGAAGAAGUUAUUUGCCCAGUGGCAGCGACAUUGCUAAGAGCAAUUGAGUUUAAGAGAGAUGUCGAUAUUUAUCGUCGUCAAAUCUCAUAUGAAACACUUACCACUAAAAGAAUUGACGUUUUUGCCAGGACGAUACCAAAUGCAAAAACAAAUAACAAUGGCGAUCUCUCAAACACGUGACUAUUUGAGUAGGUGUAGUUGUAGAAAAUCAAAUAUAUAUUGACGACUAACGGCACAGCAGGAGAAAGUACGCUGGUAUCCUAAAAAAAAUUAGAAAACAGACAAAUAUUCAACUACACGAUCAUAAAUCAAAUUAUUGUUAUAAUUUCUAAUUACUGUAAUUGCCACUAUUUUAGGUAUAUUUAUAACAUUUCCUUUAGCAUUUGCAUAAUCUCCGAUAAUUUUACUAUCCGUUCUUCAACUUCAAGUAAACAACUCUCUUUAAACAAGACAAUUAUCUUUAUUGGGCUGUUGGCAUUAGUAAGUACGUAAUCAAGACGGAUUGUGAGAGAUGUGUAACGUAUUACGCCUUGGCCAAGUACACAUGGAUUGUAAGAGAAAGACGAUGAGCAAUUAAAAAAAUAAAAUGAUG